RNAcentral lists this small RNA (209 nucleotides) under Arabidopsis thaliana (thale cress). RNAcentral's name for it is "ATSL132390". Lineage: Eukaryota; Viridiplantae; Streptophyta; Magnoliopsida; Brassicales; Brassicaceae. The record is from RNAcentral.
UUAUUUUUUUGUACGAAUAGUCUUCAGAUCUUUUUCAGUUGAUGUCAAUCCAAACUUUAAUCAUGAGUCUAUCACAAUAUUGUUGAAGUACAUAAAACAAGGAAUUGAUUUAUUUAUAAUCGAGUUAGGAAAAUUUUAAACUACAAACAUAACAUAGUUACACAGAAUUGUAUCAAAAUAUCAUUAUUGUUGUUAUAUGUAUUCAUUUA